RNAcentral lists this non-coding RNA (561 nucleotides) under Pan troglodytes (chimpanzee). Lineage: Eukaryota; Metazoa; Chordata; Mammalia; Primates; Hominidae. The record is from RNAcentral.
AGGAAAGAGGCCUCAAGUUUCCUUCUGCAGCAGCGCAGCAUACGAGGUGCACAGUGAUCCACCCGAACGGCAGCUAUGCUGCCGGGGCUGGUGAGACGUGGUCAUUCACAAGGCAGCUCGCUUGUGCUUCACAGCAGGUUGCUGCCCGGAGUCGCCAUGAAGGAAUGUGAUGCAGCCUAUUGGAGGAGAACCAAACCCCACCCCACCCCCCGCCAGAAAGCCAUACCAGCUGCCGACAUGUGCAUGGGCUCAUCGGGGGUUUUCCAGGCCCACUGAUGUUCCAGCUGAGCACAGCUGCCGGCUCCCGGGCCGAGCAGCAGGGCGUGCCGGCCACCUCGUAGGUCUUGUGAAAACGCGAGUAGUCCACCUUGUAGUGGCUCUUCUCCUCGAAGACCACAGGCUCAAAGCGGUGGCCCCACAGGAUCUCACUGGCCAGGUAGGAGCUGCGGGCCUGGGUGGUCAUGGCCGUGGCCUCCACCAUGCCCUCCAGGAUGACCACGAUCUCAAAGUCCUCCGACUCCAGCUCCUCCUUGCCCAUGCCAUAAAGCGGGCUGUCCUCGU